UCAUGAUCAUUAAAAAUAUUAUGACUAUUGUAUAAAUUGGAACAUUGACUCGAAAGAGAAAAGAUUAAAAUGCGUUCCAUAAACAAUAACAUUAGCUUAAAUAAAAUAAAAAAUCGAACAGGGGGUUUCAUUAUAAAAAGGUCUUUCGCAACUGGCAUCCGAAGUUCAAUUGAUACGAGUGUGGACAUCGUUUGGUCUCGUAUCGAGCCUCUACGAGACGAGAGGCGCGUGUACAGCCAGCGUUAGCUGUAGACCGAGAGUGCUAAAGGAAAAUAUUAAAUUAUUUUAUAUUCAAAUAUACUCAACAACGCCUAGAACACAAAACUUUAUUUGUAGUUUUUUUAUUGAUUGUUAAUUUUAAAUAAAUUAAUACUUGUUUCAAUUAAGCAGCUUUAUUUUUUAGCAAUAUACAAGAAAAAUCAAAAAUGAAGAAACAAUUAAGUACGACUUCAAACUGAAUAAAUAUAUAUGUAUAUGUAUAUAUAUUUGUUCCAGAUGUCAAUCCCAUAACAAAUCCCAUCCUUUUGUUCAUGCAUUUCAUCAACAUUUUAAUGGAAAAUUUGAGUAUUUUUUUCUCAUCCAAUAAAUCCGAUUUCAGCUUUAGCGUGUAUUUUUUUGCUUUUUGUUAUAACAAUCAAGGAACUGGACAAACUUUUAAUUUUCGAGAUUGCCGCACAAACUUUACAAGAUUCACUUAAACGAAACUUGAAGUUUGCAUACACGCACGCAGUACGACGUCAUUUGAAGCCAAAACAUAUGACGAAAACAUUUGAGUUUAAGCGCUAUGGUUGCGUUGCGGUUGCGUGCGACUACGUUGCGGAAUGAUUAGCAACAUGUGACAGACUUAAGUUAGAUUGGUUUUCAGGUUGACUUUUUUAUUUAGCCCAGCUGUUGACGGACUGAGAUAAAUGCACCUUCUGCAUUAUAGCACGACUUGUGUGCUUAAUAAAUAAAUUUCGUAAUUUGUGAAACAAAUUAUAUUUCACGGUAUCCUAAAUAAUUACUCACAUCUACUAUAAUUACUUGGUGCGGGCACUGAUCUUUCCCAUAUUCCUCUAUGGGGCGGAGACAUGGUGCAUAAAAAGCCGGGAUAUCAAAAAGAUCGAUGCCUUUGAAAUGUGGGUGUGGCGGAGGAUGCUGCGAAUACCGUGGACUGCCAUGCGAACAAACGAGUUCAUUCUGAGGCAGCUAGACAUCCGAAAAAGGCUCUCUUCCAUCUGCCGGGAACGUGUUGAGUUUCUUCGGACACAUCAUGCGGUCUCCCAAACAUGAAUUAGAGAAGCUCAUAAUUACGGGUCGAAUAGAAGGCAUAGAAUAGAAUAGCGUGGGGCGUCCUCCAACCAGGUGGACUGACGACUUAGUGCGCACGGCGGCAAGUCGUUGGAUGCGGAAGGCGGAGGACCGCAUUAUGUGGAAGGCAUUGGGAAAGGCCUAUGUCCAGCAGUGGGCAGAUAAAGGCUGAUGAUGAUGAUGAUGAUGAAUAGAAGGCAAGCGCGCCGUGGGCAGAACACCAGCCAGAUGGUCAGAUCUAGCAAGAGAAGCACUCGGUGGUAGUCUGUACCAUGCAGUCCAUGCCACCCAUGAUCGGGCGCAUUGGAAGUACGUCGCAUGUGGUCGCGAUCCUAAGUAGUGAGGGAACGAUAUAGAAGAAGACUAUAAUUACUAUUUAACUUUUUGUUAAUAAAUACAAUUGAAUGUCAUUCAA
Long non-coding RNA from Bombyx mori (domestic silkworm), 1705 nucleotides. RefSeq lists it as uncharacterized. The transcript has 2 exons. The record is from RefSeq and is a predicted model, not a curated record. NCBI's taxonomy places the organism in Eukaryota, Metazoa, Arthropoda, Insecta, Lepidoptera, Bombycidae.